RNAcentral lists this non-coding RNA (109 nucleotides) under Streptococcus vestibularis. Its description in RNAcentral is "Streptococcus RNA 266". It matches the Rfam family "Streptococcus RNA 266". The record is from RNAcentral. Lineage: Bacteria; Bacillati; Bacillota; Bacilli; Lactobacillales; Streptococcaceae.
AUGAUGGUUUGGUUGCUUUUCAUUAUAGUUCGUCUGUGACUUUUUGUCUGUAAUCAAAAAGCUCUAUAAUCUAUAUGGUGGUUUUACCCACUACAGAAAUUAUAGAGCC